GUUCCAGGAACAAAAGGCUCUCCCUAAAAGACCGCCGCUUCAAAAAAACCUGAGGAAUGGAGUGGGCCAACACUAUCCAGCCACUCUGACCAGCCGAACGAGGAACUCAAUCAAAAUGAGCCAUAGCGGGACCACAAGGGCAAGGAGACCACCACCUUCUCCAGUCUCUCUUCGGACAGCCAGUAAUUCCCGGGCAAGGCCAGAGACUUCAA
This 212-nucleotide long non-coding RNA is filed under the name Homo sapiens (human). Its description in RNAcentral is "long non-coding RNA NONHSAT258469". Lineage: Eukaryota; Metazoa; Chordata; Mammalia; Primates; Hominidae. The record is from RNAcentral.